CAAACCUAACCUUAUCUCCAGCCGCCAUCCCACCCACCCACAGUCCAUCCACUGCUCGCACAGGUUCGUCGCCCUCCUCCCUCUUGGAUGCUCGCACAGGGUUUGUGUGUGGAGAAGGAGCUCGGUGAGGAAUCGAACGCAGCUCGACCCUACUCCCACACAAGAAGGGGCUCGGUGAGGAAUUAAAGGCAACACGACCCGCACAGGUUCGUCGCCUCACGUUCCCUCCCUCCCCUUCGUCCCUCCUGGAUCCCCUAUCAUCUCCAGUGAUUCUCGGUACUUAGAGGCCACCAGAUCUCCAGUCAGCAACGCCUCCGCCCGCCGGGGUGUUCUUUCUGGAUAAAAACAAUGGCGGAACGUGAGUGGAUGUCGAAGCAUUGCAUACCUGAGAAGGCUAGCAUUUUGAGCACAUAUGCUGCAAUGAAGUCUACAAUUAAUACAAUGGACAACAAUGGAGAAAGUGCUCCCAUUCCUCUCCAGAGAACACAACAAUUGCUGGAAUAUAAGUUUGGACCCAAGAAGGCUAGCACUUUGAACAUAUAUGCUGUAAUGAAGUCUGGAUUCAAUGACGUGGACAAUUCUCAGCCGUAGACCACAAAACCGUCUUGCAGUGGAGAACUUAGAUAUAUGUAGGUGCUAGGACUUAUGUACGUUAGCAACGACUGCGAUAUUCUUGCCUUUUAGCAUAAUGGUUGAACACUUUUUAAUCUGAUUGGAGUGUAGUUGUCGGACACUUUAAUUUGUAAUAUAUUUCAACUAAAUUAGUUGAAUAUAUUCAUGUAUUGGAACUUGAUUGUAUUUGUGCUGGAUUGUCAUAUCAUCAUGUGUCAGUUGAGUCUA
Molecule: long non-coding RNA, 840 nt
Organism: Sorghum bicolor (sorghum)
Lineage: Eukaryota; Viridiplantae; Streptophyta; Magnoliopsida; Poales; Poaceae
Exons: 6
Source: RefSeq, a predicted model, not a curated record